UGAGCAUAUCAUAAGCGGAGGAAAAGAAACUAACAAGGAUUCCCCUAGUAACUGCGAGUGAAGCGGGAAAAAGCUCAAAUUUAAAAUCUGGCGGUCUCCGGCCGUCCGAGUUGUAAUUUAGAGAAGUGUUAUCCGCGCUGGACCGUGUACAAGUCUCCUGGAAUGGAGCGUCAUAGAGGGUGAGAAUCCCGUCUUCGACACGGACCCCCAGGGCUUUGUGAUGCGCUCUCGAAGAGUCGAGUUGUUUGGGAAUGCAGCUCAAAAUGGGUGGUAAAUUCCAUCUAAAGCUAAAUAUUGGCGAGAGACCGAUAGCGAACAAGUACCGUGAGGGAAAGAUGAAAAGAACUUUGGAAAGAGAGUUAAACAGUACGUGAAAUUGUUGAAAGGGAAACGCUUGAAGUCAGUCGCGUUGGCCGGGGAUCAACCUUGCAUUCGUGCUUGGCGUACUUCCCGGUCGACGGGUCAGCAUCAAUUUUGACCGCUGGAUAAAGGUCAGGGGAAUGUGGCAUCUUCGGAUGUGUUAUAGCCUCUGGCCGCAUACAGCGGUUGGGAUUGAGGAACUCAGCACGCCGCAAGGCCGGGUUUUUAACCACGUACGUGCUUAGGAUGCUGGCAUAAUGGCUUUAAUCGACCCGUCUUGAAACACGGACCAAGGAGUCUAACAUGCCCGCGAGUGUUUGGGUGGAAAACCCGAGCGCGUAAUGAAAGUGAAAGUUGAGAUCUCUGUCGUGGAGAGCAUCGACGCCCGGACCAGACCUUCUGUGACGGAUCCGCGGUAGAGCGUGUAUGUUGGGACCCGAAAGAUGGUGAACUAUGCCUGAAUAGGGUGAAGCCAGAGGAAACUCUGGUGGAGGCUCGUAGCGAUUCUGACGUGCAAAUCGAUCGUCGAAUUUGUGUAUAGGGCGAAAGACUAAUCGA
Molecule: ribosomal RNA, 918 nt
Filed under: Xeromphalina cornui
Lineage: Eukaryota; Fungi; Basidiomycota; Agaricomycetes; Agaricales; Mycenaceae
Description: LSU rRNA
Rfam family: Eukaryotic large subunit ribosomal RNA
Source: RNAcentral